AUUGAACGCUGGCGGCAUGCUUUACACAUGCAAGUCGAACGGCAGCGGGGAGGAGCUUGCUUCUCUGCCGGCGAGUGGCGAACGGGUGAUUAAUACAUCGGAACGUGUCGAGAAGAGGGGGAUAACCACCCGAAAGGGUGGCUAAUACCGCAUAAAUUCUGAGGAAGAAAGCUGGGGACCUGGGAAUAGGCCUAGCGCUUUUUGAGCGGCCGAUGUCGGAUUAGCUAGUUGGUGAGGUAAAGGCUCACCAAGGCGAAGAUCUGUAGCGGGUCUGAGAGGAUGAUCCGCCACACUGGGACUGAGACACGGCCCAGACUCCUACGGGAGGCAGCAGUGGGGAAUUUUGGACAAUGGGGGCAACCCUGAUCCAGCCAUGCCGCGUGUAUGAAGAAGGCCUUAGGGUUGUAAAGUACUUUUGUUAGGGAAGAAAAGUCAGCUGUGAAUAAUGGCUGAUACUGACGGUACCUAAAGAAUAAGCACCGGCUAACUACGUG
Molecule: ribosomal RNA, 494 nt
Filed under: uncultured bacterium
Lineage: Bacteria
Description: partial 16S ribosomal RNA
Rfam family: Bacterial small subunit ribosomal RNA
Source: RNAcentral